This 2720-nucleotide long non-coding RNA is filed under the name Sus scrofa (pig). RNAcentral describes it as "lncRNA (ENSSSCG00050065700.1)". The record is from RNAcentral. Lineage: Eukaryota; Metazoa; Chordata; Mammalia; Artiodactyla; Suidae.
AUCUGAUGUAGGUGUAAGUGGGGAAGACAGUUUACUUUAAAAGCUGAUGUAAUCCACCAACACUCGAAUCACAAUAUGAAAUGAAAAUAGAUGUUCAGUUUUCAACAACUGUAAUAUAAUUAACUCUUAGUCUCUGUUUUUACCUAGCUACAGAAUCAACUGUUUCACAGUCCUGAGGUUUGUUUGGGGCUAUUUGCAGUUCAUGAUUUGAGAGAAUUGGAGGUGAGAUGAAUUGAGUGUAUAAUUAGUCCUUGAAGUUGAAGAGAGCAAGUGAGACACACCUUCUCACCUCCUCUUCUUUGUUAUUUUCUUCCUUUUGCUGUUUCCUGCUCCAUCUUUGUUCAAUGUGCCAGAUAAAAAAUAGGGUCAGUGAUAGGGCAGGAAGUGAUUUUUGUUCCUUUUGUUUCUUUGUUUCUCAAACUCAAGCUUUUGAUUGCAGGAUUUUAUCUUGCCAUUUGUUUUCGGCAGUAUUUUUUUAUUCCCCUUCUUUUCCUCUUGGUUUCCUAUUCUUUUGUUCUCUGUCUCUCUUAUCUUUCUUCCCCAUCAGUCCUCACGCCUUCUCUUCUUUUUUCCAGGUUAUGGUAUAAAUUGGAGAGUUAGGGUAUUAAUAGCAUGGGGAUGAGUAAAGUGUGUGUCUGAAAGAACUGUGUGCCUGUCCAAAAGUCUGGCAUCCAAGUAGAGUCACUGUGGUGCUGGGAGGUAAAUUAGAACUGGCUGAAGAGAGUGUCCAGGGGUGGGCUUGAGCUAUCUCCAGGUCUUUAGAGCCUGCAUGUAAUAGGUGGAGACUCUUGACAUCUCUGUAUCUCCAAUAGGAAGAUACAAAGACAUUAGAAGUACUGAUGGAGAAGGAGAGGUCCAAGGUUGGGUAAAGGCAGCCAUGAAUUACUGGGACAGUAGAGAGGACCACAGACUCUAGUAUUGCUAGCCAGCUCAGUGUCCAAAAAAAUCCAGAGGUACUAGCCACAACCCAGAGACACCAGAGGUGAACUCCAUGGACCAGACAACAUCAACCACACCACAUUAGGGAUAGCCAAAGGAUCCACCAUUCCCAGAAGAAUCCAGGAGGGAGAGGAGGGGGAGAGACCUCCCGAAAGAGGAAAAAUAGCUCUGAAGGAAUUUUGCAUUUAAAAUUCGUGAAACAUUUGCCCCAAAGACUGUUUUUGUUUUGCUUUUUUUAAAAUAAUGAUUUUUAUUUUUUUUCCAUUAUAGCUGGUUUACAGUGUUCUGCAAAUUUUCUACUGUACAGCAAGGUGACCCAGUCGCACAUGCAUGUAUACAUUCUUUUUUCUCACAUGAUCAUGUUCCCAAAGACUGUUUUUAUUUCAAAAAACACUGAAUUACUUUUAAGUGACAAAUUUAAGAUUUUCUCCUGCCAGUGGAUAAGCAGUAAGGUCCUGCUGUAUAGCACAGGGAACUAUAUCCAAUCCCUUUGAUAUAACAUGAUGAAAGAUAAUAUGAGAAAAAGAGUGUAUAUAUGUGUGUCUGGGUCACUUUGCUGUACAGCAGAAAUUGACAGAACAAUAUAAAUCAACUAUAAUAAAAAAUUGUUAAAAGGAAAAAAAAUUUUCUCCUGCCAUUAGCAAGAAUGGGACACCAGAACAAGAUGAAGGCAACUAUAGAGAGGAAAAGGACCUAGGCAUCUCUGAGUUGUGUGCAAAUUUCAAUCCUUCUUUUAGGGGUGUGUGUUUUGAAAGGUGGAAAUCAGUAUGUUAAUAGAGGUCAACUCUGAAUGGUGGAAUAAUUGUUUUAUUUUUCUUUUUAUCAUCCAACAUAUAUUUACUGAAUAUUUACUUUAUGCCAAACAUGAUUCUUUGCACUUAUCUUUCUUAAUUUCUUCACAAUCAUACAAUUUCUAUGUUUUGCUCUUGUAAGGAGGAAAGCAUAGUUCAAUGCUAUUUUAAAAAAAAUAUCUCUUCAAUCCACGCAUUGUGUGUUUUUUUUUUUUUUUUUUUUUUUUUUUAGUUUUUUGUUUUUUGUCUUUUUAGGGCUACUCCUAUGGCAUAUGGAAGUUCCCAGGCUAGGGAUCAAAUCAGAGCUGCAGCUGCCAGCCUACCCCACAGCCAAAGCAACACUGGAUCCUUAACUCACUGAGCGAGGUGCUUUUUUAAUCUCCAUUUUUUUUCAGAAGAGAAAAAAAAAAAAAUGAGGCUCAAAGAGAGGAAAUAGGAGUUCCUGUUGUGGCUCAGCAGGUUAAGUACCUGGCAUUGUCUCUGUGAGGAUGUGGGUUCAAUCCCUGGUCUCACUCACUGGUUUAAGGAUCUGGUGUUGCCACAAGCUGUGGUAUAGGUUGCAGAUGUGGCUCCUCACAGAUCUGAUGUUGCUAUGGCUAUGGUGUAAGCCUCAGCUGCAGCUCUGAUCCAACCUCUAGCCAGGGAACUUACAUAUGCUGGAGGUAUGGCAGUAGAAAAAGAGAGCAAGAGAGAGAAAUGAAGUAACUUGCUUAACAUUGCAGUUUGCCCGUGGAAGAGGCUGAAUGUGCAGUCUUCUCAAAGUACACUCUCUAUAAUUAGAAACCACAUUGAGAUUAUCAUAUAUACUAAAAAUCUUUGUAAUAUAUAAAUAUGGCAAAAUUAGUUGCCUUCUAAGAUGGAAUCUAUUUUUUUAAAUGCAAGAUUAUUGCUUCAGGCCAACAUAGCCAUAUUUUUUUACUUAAAUGGUGACAUCCCACAGAUUAAACUAUUCCUCAUUUAAUUUUAUAUGUCUUAAAAUGAAUCAAUAUC